Camelina sativa (false flax) is the source of this 302-nucleotide non-coding RNA. Lineage: Eukaryota; Viridiplantae; Streptophyta; Magnoliopsida; Brassicales; Brassicaceae. The record is from RefSeq and is a predicted model, not a curated record.
GGUACCACAGAGACCUUGUUACUUUAUUUACAUAGUUCAAUUUCAUUUUAUACCCCACCAAGACCAUAAAAAAAGCCUGUCCUUUCAAGAUAGAACAUUUCUAAGGUUGUAUUCUGAGACAAUUCAAUACAUUUCCAUUUCAUGGAUAAUAUGUAUGGUCACCAACGCUCACUAACUUUUUCAUGUUUUUAUGGGAAAAAACUUCAUAAACUCAUGGAUUAUUCUUUAGAGGCGAAAAACGACUGAAGGAUUUGUUAACAGCAUUAAAGAUUAAUUAAAGGCAACUAAAACUGCAUUUUUGA